Long non-coding RNA from Salvelinus fontinalis (brook trout), 256 nucleotides. RefSeq lists it as uncharacterized. The record is from RefSeq and is a predicted model, not a curated record. The transcript is spliced from 3 exons. Lineage: Eukaryota; Metazoa; Chordata; Actinopteri; Salmoniformes; Salmonidae.
CCAAGGCGUGUGAGCAGAACCUGAGGAGGACCUUCCAAUACGGAGGAAGAAUCGAACACCCCAACAGCAUGGAACUGAAGGCUAUGCUGGCUGGGCGGAGCUCCAAGAGACAGUUGUUCCUCCUACCAGGCGGCAUCGAGAGACACCUCAAAAUCAAGACCUGCUCAGUGUCUCUGGAUGCUAUAGAGGAGCUAUGUAAUGACAUGGGACUGCACAGACUGGAGGCCAUGGAUGAGUACGCUGUAUUUGUGGUCAC